AGGGAAUCUUCGGCAAUGGACGAAAGUCUGACCGAGCAACGCCGCGUGAGUGAAGAAGGUUUUCGGAUCGUAAAACUCUGUUGGUAGAGAAGAACGUUGGUGAGAGUGGAAAGCUCAUCAAGUGACGGUAACUACCCAGAAAGGGACGGCUAACUACGUGCCAGCAGCCGCGGUAAUACGUAGGUCCCGAGCGUUGUCCGGAUUUAUUGGGCGUAAAGCGAGCGCAGGUGGUUUAUUAAGUCUUGUGUAAAAGGCAGUGGCUCAACCAUUGUAUGCAUUGGAAACUGGUAGACUUGAGUGCAGGAGAGGAGAGUGGAAUUCCAUGUGUAGCGGUGAAAUGCGUAGAUAUAUGGAGGAACACCGGUGGCGAAGGCGGCCCCCUGGACAAAGACUGACGCUCAGGUGCGAAAGCGUGGGGAGCAAAC
This 425-nucleotide ribosomal RNA is filed under the name uncultured bacterium. RNAcentral's name for it is "bacterial SSU rRNA". It matches the Rfam family "Bacterial small subunit ribosomal RNA", at positions 356 to 773 of the family's 1533-position model. The record is from RNAcentral.